This 253-nucleotide ribosomal RNA is filed under the name uncultured bacterium. RNAcentral describes it as "partial 16S ribosomal RNA". It matches the Rfam family "Bacterial small subunit ribosomal RNA", at positions 524 to 776 of the family's 1533-position model. The record is from RNAcentral.
UACAGCGGUCUCAAGCGUUGUUCGGAAUCACUGGGCGUAAAGGGUGCGUAGGCCGCACGGUAAGUCAGAUGUGAAAGCCCGGAGCUCAACUCCGGAACUGCAUCCGAUACUGCCGUGCUUGAGGACUGGAGAGGAGUCUGGAAUUCACAGUGGAGCAGUGAAAUGCGUAGAUAUUGUGAGGAACACUAGUGGCGAAGGCGAGACUCUGGACAGUUCCUGACGCUGAGGCACGAAGGCCAGGGGAGCAAACGGG